UGUUAUUUCGCCGAUUUUGUUUUUACUCAA
RNAcentral lists this non-coding RNA (30 nucleotides) under Mus musculus (house mouse). The record is from RNAcentral. Lineage: Eukaryota; Metazoa; Chordata; Mammalia; Rodentia; Muridae.